This 73-nucleotide transfer RNA is filed under the name Actinia equina. RNAcentral describes it as "tRNA tRNAscan-SE.tRNA.utg699.Tyr(GTA).10". It matches the Rfam family "tRNA". Rfam says of the family: Transfer RNA (tRNA) molecules are approximately 80 nucleotides in length. Their secondary structure includes four short double-helical elements and three loops (D, anti-codon, and T loops). Further hydrogen bonds mediate the characteristic L-shaped molecular structure. tRNAs have two regions of fundamental functional importance: the anti-codon, which is responsible for specific mRNA codon recognition, and the 3' end, to which the tRNAs corresponding amino acid is attached (by aminoacyl-tRNA synthetases). tRNAs cope with the degeneracy of the genetic code in two manners: having more than one tRNA (with a specific anti-codon) for a particular amino acid; and 'wobble' base-pairing, i.e. permitting non-standard base-pairing at the 3rd anti-codon position. RNAcentral also lists the same sequence under 1 other name. The record is from RNAcentral. Lineage: Eukaryota; Metazoa; Cnidaria; Anthozoa; Actiniaria; Actiniidae.
CCUUCGAUAGCUCAGUUGGUAGAGCGGGGGACUGUAGAUCCCUAGGUCGCUGGUUCAAAUCCGGCUCGAAGGA